CCUACGGGGAGCAGCAGUGAGGAAUAUUGGUCAAUGGGCGAGAGCCUGAACCAGCCAAGUCGCGUGAAGGAUGACGGCCCUACGGGUUGUAAACUUCUUUUGUCAGGGAGCAAUUGAGUCCACGUGUGGUCUUAGCGAGAGUACCUGAAGAAAAAGCAUCGGCUAACUCCGUGCCAGCAGCCGCGGUAAUACGGGGGAUGAGAGCGGUAUCCGGUUUUAUUGGGUUUAAAGGGUGCGUAUGCGGAAUAUCAAGUCAGCGGUAAAAAUUCGGGGCGAAACCCCGUCGUGCCGUUGAAACUGAUGUUCUUGAGUGGGCGAGAAGUAGGCGGAAUGCGUGGUGUAGCGGUGAAAUGCACAGAUAUCACGCAGAAAACCGAUUGCGAAGGCAGCAUACCGGCGCCCAACUGACGCUGAAGCACGAAAGCGUGGGUAUCGAACAGGAUUAGAUACCCGAGUAGUC
Molecule: ribosomal RNA, 460 nt
Filed under: uncultured bacterium
Lineage: Bacteria
Description: partial 16S ribosomal RNA
Rfam family: Bacterial small subunit ribosomal RNA
Source: RNAcentral